This 523-nucleotide long non-coding RNA is filed under the name Triticum aestivum (bread wheat). RNAcentral describes it as "long non-coding RNA (TAES_LNC027957)". Lineage: Eukaryota; Viridiplantae; Streptophyta; Magnoliopsida; Poales; Poaceae. The record is from RNAcentral.
UUCGAUCUUGUUGUCUUGUUUAAACAUGAAAUGUUUGUAAUUCUAGACUCAGCAUAUGAUGCAGAGAGUGAUUUUCACCAGCAUGUGUUGAAUAUUCUGGUAAAUUUAGAUGUCUUCCCCUCUCUUUUUUCUGUAACUUGAUGAUGGUGUCAUGUUUUUUACACACUAAAUAUUUGUGUUAGUUUUAUGACUUUCUCUGGUUUUCUGUGUACUUCUUGUAGAUACCAAAUUUCAAAAGGGUUUGGGACAUGUAUGAGAGCUCAAGAAAUCUUAACUGGAGAAAUUGGACCACGCACUUUAUUGAUGUACCUAAACAAAGCAAUGAGUAAGUUAUUUUUCCUUUUUCUUUUUUGCAUGAAUUUUAAUUUGCUUUUUUACUAUUUUUUCAUGCUGCUCAUACCAAAUUAAUACAUAUUCACAGAUGUCUAUUAUGUCCCUAUUGGAUUUUACGUUUGUAGGCUUGAUUGUGGCAUAUAUACGACACUCUUUCUGAAGCAUUGGAAGCCCAGGAUACUGAUGCAUG